GCAUGAUAAUGUGAAAAGAAGUUGAUGUAAUUCUGCAUUAACAGAUCUGUGUAGUCUGAAUGUUGCAAAGAAUGACCUGACCAGUAGGUUGUUAAUGCUUCAACAUUACACAAAUAGCUCAAUCAUAUAUUCCAUUGAAUUAUCAUGAGUCACCAGAGAAUUAAAUUACAUAGAACAGUCCAAUCCAAAAGCAGACCCACAAAUGUAUCCAAGUGAAAUAGUUCAAAAGGAAAAGUUAUGGCUUACAGUGGACUUUCCAGCUUUAACUUUUCAAGCCUUUUUU
Molecule: unclassified non-coding RNA, 283 nt
Filed under: Hevea brasiliensis (rubber tree)
Lineage: Eukaryota; Viridiplantae; Streptophyta; Magnoliopsida; Malpighiales; Euphorbiaceae
Source: RNAcentral